AACGAACGCUGGCGGCAUGCCUAACACAUGCAAGUCGAACGAUAUCUUCGGGUCUAGUGGCGCACGGGUGCGUAACGCGUGGGAAUCUGCCCUUUGGUUCGGAAUAACAGUUGGAAACGACUGCUAAUACCGGAUGAUGACGAAAGUCCAAAUAUUUAUCGCCAGAGGAUGACCCCGCGUAGGAUUAGCUAGUUGGUGUGGUAAAGGCGCACCAAGGCGACUAUCCUUAGCUGGUCUGAGAGGAUGAUCACCCACACUGGGACUGAGACACGGCCCACACUCCUACGGGAGGCAGCAGUGGGGAAUAUUGGACAAUGGGCGAAAGCCUGAUCCAGCAAUGCCGCGUGAGUGAUGAAGGCCUUAGGGUUGUAAAGCUCUUUUACCCGGGAUGAUAAUGACAGUACCGGGAGAAUAAGCUCCGGCUAACUCCGUGCCAGCAGCCGCGGUAAUACGGAGGGAGCUAGCGUUGUUCGGAAUUACUGGGCGUAAAGCGCACGUAG
This 500-nucleotide ribosomal RNA is filed under the name uncultured bacterium. Its description in RNAcentral is "bacterial SSU rRNA". It matches the Rfam family "Bacterial small subunit ribosomal RNA", at positions 28 to 574 of the family's 1533-position model. The record is from RNAcentral.